RNAcentral lists this RNase MRP RNA (340 nucleotides) under Lachancea thermotolerans CBS 6340. RNAcentral describes it as "RNase MRP". It matches the Rfam family "RNase MRP". From Rfam's summary of the family: RNase MRP is an enzymatically active ribonucleoprotein with two distinct roles in eukaryotes. In mitochondria it plays a direct role in the initiation of mitochondrial DNA replication. Lineage: Eukaryota; Fungi; Ascomycota; Saccharomycetes; Saccharomycetales; Saccharomycetaceae. The record is from Rfam by way of RNAcentral.
UCCAUGGUCGAAGAAUCGUCACUAAUCGAAGCUUGCAAACUGGGCUCAGUCCCAUGAUAAGCUUUGGGUUGAAAGUCUCCCACCAGGUCGUAUGCGGAAAACGCAAUGAGAUUUAAAAAUCUUAAAAUUGUUUAAAUCCACUCAUUAGAGUUGAGAGAGGUUAUGGGCUUCGGCUUGUGCCUCUCUUUGCUUUCCUGUCCCCCGGGAUCCUGGCGGUUCCGGUGGUGUCUUCGGUAAUGGAAUCGAAUGUUUGGAUUCCAAAACAUAGUUAUGACGAUUGUCGUGCUGUUGCUUGCAACUGCGCGGUAACCCAAUGGAGCUUACUUUUCUUGGCUCAUGG